UGGGGUGUGGUUCAGUGUAGAGCACUCGCCUAGCAUGUGAGAGGCCCUGGGUUCAAUCCUCAGCACCACAU
RNAcentral lists this transfer RNA (71 nucleotides) under Marmota marmota marmota (Alpine marmot). It matches the Rfam family "tRNA". Rfam says of the family: Transfer RNA (tRNA) molecules are approximately 80 nucleotides in length. The record is from Rfam by way of RNAcentral. RNAcentral also lists the same sequence under 2 other names. Lineage: Eukaryota; Metazoa; Chordata; Mammalia; Rodentia; Sciuridae.